This 107-nucleotide ribosomal RNA is filed under the name Caerostris extrusa. Lineage: Eukaryota; Metazoa; Arthropoda; Arachnida; Araneae; Araneidae. The record is from RNAcentral.
ACGGCCAUACCAUGCUGAAUAUACCGGUCCUCGUUAGAUCACCGAAGUCAAGCAUCAUAGGGCACGGUCAGUACUUGGGUGGGUGACCACCUGGGAACACCGCGUGC